UGCGUUGUUGGUAGGAGCGUUNUAAACCUGUGAAGGUGUACUGUGAGGUAUGCUGGAAUUAUCAGAAGUGCGAAUGCNGACANNAGUAACGAUAAAGCGGGUGAAAAGCCCGCUCGCCGGAAGACCCAGGGUUCCUGUCCAACGUUAAUCGGGGCAGGGUGAGUCGACCCCUAAGGCGAGGCCGAAAGGCGUAGUCGAUGGGAAACAGGUAAUAUUCCUGUACUUGGUGUUACCGCGAAGGGGGACGGAGAAGGCUAUGUGGCCGGGCGACGGUGCCUCGGUUUAAGCGUGUAGGCUGGUUUUCCAGGCAAAUCCGGAAAAUCAAGGCUGAGGCGUGAUGAUGAGGCACUACGGUGCUGAAGCAACAAAUGCCCUGCUUCCAGGAAAAGCCUCUAAGCAUCAGGUAACAUCAAAUCGUACCCCAAACCGACACAGGUGGUCAGGUAGAGAAUACCAAGGCGCUUGAGAGAACUCGGGUGAAGGACCUAGGCAGAAUGGUGCCGUAACUUCGGGAGAAGGCACGCUGAUAUGUAGGUGAAGCGACUUGCUCGUGGAGCUGAAAUCAGUCGAAGAUACCAGCUGGCUGCAACUGUUUAUUAAAACACAGCACUGUGCAAACACGAAAGUGGACGNAUACGGUGUGACGCCUCGCCGGAAGGUUAAUUGAUGGUUAGCGCAAGCGAAGCUCUUGAUCAAGCCCCGGUAAACGGCGGCCGUAACUAUAACGGUCCUAAGGUAGCGAAAUUCCUUGUCGGGUAAGUUCCGACCUGCACGAAUGGCGUAAUGAUGGCCAGGCUGUCUCCACCGAGACUCAGUGAAAUUGAACUCGCUGUGAAGAUGCGGUACCCGCGGUAAGACGAAAGACCCCGUGAACCUUUACUAUAGCUUGACACUGAACAUUGAGCCUUGGUGGUGUAGGAUAGGUGGGAGGCUUUGAAGUGUGGACGCCAGUCUGCAUGGAGCCGACCUUGAAAUACCACCCUUUAAUGUUUGAUGUUCUAACGUUGACCCGUAAUCCGGGUUGCGGACAGUGUCUGGUGGUAGUUUGACUGGGGCGGUCUCCUAAAGAGUAACGGAGGAGCACGAAGGUUGGCUAAUCCUGGUCGGACAUCAGGAGGUUAGUGCAAUGGCAUAAGCCAGCUUGACUGCGAGCGUGACGGCGCGAGCAGGUGCGAAAGCAGGUCAUAGUGAUCCGGUGGUUCUGAAUGGAAGGGCCAUCGCUCAACGGAUAAAAGGUACUCCGGGGAUAACAGGCUGAUACCGCCCAAGAGUUCAUAUCGACGGCGUGUUUGGCACCUCGAUGUCGGCUCAUCACAUCCUGGGGCUGAAGUAGGUCCCAAGGGUAUGGCUGUUCGCCAUUUAGUGGUACGCGAGCUGGGUUUAGAACGUCGUGAGACAGUUCGUCCCUAUCUGCCGUGGGCGCUGGAGAACUGAGGGGCUGCUCCAUACGAGAGGACCGGUGGACGCAUCACUGGUGUUCGGGUUGUCAUGCCAAUGGCACUGCCCGGUAGCUAAAUGCGGAAGAGAUAAGUGCUGAAAGCAUCUAAGCACGAAACUUGCCCCGAGAUGAGUUCUCCCUGACUCCUUGAGAGUCCUGAAGGAACGUUGAAGACGACGACGUUGAUAGGCUGUGUAAGCGCAGCGAUGCGUUGAGCUAACCGGUA
RNAcentral lists this ribosomal RNA (1664 nucleotides) under metagenome. RNAcentral describes it as "bacterial LSU rRNA". It matches the Rfam family "Bacterial large subunit ribosomal RNA", at positions 1218 to 2900 of the family's 2925-position model. The record is from RNAcentral.